This 435-nucleotide ribosomal RNA is filed under the name uncultured bacterium. Its description in RNAcentral is "partial 16S ribosomal RNA". It matches the Rfam family "Bacterial small subunit ribosomal RNA", at positions 29 to 507 of the family's 1533-position model. The record is from RNAcentral.
AACGAACGCUGGCGGCAUGCCUAACACAUGCAAGUCGAACGAUUGCCUUCGGGUGAUAGUGGCGCACGGGUGCGUAACGCGUGGGAAUCUGCCCUUAGGUUCGGAAUAACAGCUGGAAACGGCUGCUAAUACCGGAUGAUAUCGCGAGAUCAAAGAUUUAUCGCCUGAGGAUGAGCCCGCGUUGGAUUAGGUAGUUGGUGGGGUAAAGGCCUACCAAGCCGACGAUCCAUAGCUGGCCUGAGAGGAUGAUCAGCCACACUGGGACUGAGACACGGCCCAGACUCCUACGGGAGGCAGAAGUGGGGAAUAUUGGACAAUGGGCGCAAGCCUGAUCCAGCAAUGCCGCGUGAGUGAUGAAGGCCCUAGGGUUGUAAAGCUCUUUUACCCGGGAAGAUAAUGACUGUACCGGGAGAAUAAGCCCCGGCUAACUCCGUG